CCGCUCGUGGCGCAGUGGAUAACGCAACGGAUUCCGAUUCCGGAGAUCGGGGGUUCAAAUCCCUCCGAGCGGGCCA
This 76-nucleotide transfer RNA is filed under the name Clostridia bacterium. RNAcentral describes it as "tRNA-Arg". It matches the Rfam family "tRNA". From Rfam's summary of the family: Transfer RNA (tRNA) molecules are approximately 80 nucleotides in length. Their secondary structure includes four short double-helical elements and three loops (D, anti-codon, and T loops). Further hydrogen bonds mediate the characteristic L-shaped molecular structure. tRNAs have two regions of fundamental functional importance: the anti-codon, which is responsible for specific mRNA codon recognition, and the 3' end, to which the tRNAs corresponding amino acid is attached (by aminoacyl-tRNA synthetases). tRNAs cope with the degeneracy of the genetic code in two manners: having more than one tRNA (with a specific anti-codon) for a particular amino acid; and 'wobble' base-pairing, i.e. permitting non-standard base-pairing at the 3rd anti-codon position. The record is from RNAcentral. Lineage: Bacteria; Bacillati; Bacillota; Clostridia.